GAUGAAGAACGUAGCGAAAUGCGAUAAGUAAUGCGAAUUGCAGAAUUCCAGUGAGUCAUCGAAUCUUUGAACGCACAUUGCGCCCUUUGGUAUUCCUUAGGGCAUGCCUGUUCGAGCGUCAUUUAAACCUUCAAGCUAAGCUUGGUGUUGGGUGACUGUCCGCUUCACGGCGGACUCGCCUCAAAAUUAUUGGCGGCCGGUACAUUGGCUUCGAGCGCAGCAGAAACGCGAACUCGGGCCCGUCGUAUUGGCUCCCAGAAGCUAUCUUCACAAUUUUGACCUCGGAUCAGGUAGGGAUACCCGCUGAACUUAAGCAUAUCAAUAAGCGGAGGA
This 333-nucleotide unclassified non-coding RNA is filed under the name soil metagenome. Its description in RNAcentral is "partial contains 5.8S ribosomal RNA, internal transcribed spacer 2, and large subunit ribosomal RNA". The stretch from base 1 to 121 matches the Rfam family "5.8S ribosomal RNA", at positions 35 to 154 of the family's 154-position model. The record is from RNAcentral.